GACGUAGGGCGCGAGCGUUGUCCGGAUUUAUUGGGCGUAAAGAGCUCGUAGGCGGCUUGUCGCGUCGUUCGUGAAAACCUGCAGCUCAACUGCAGGCUUGCGGUCGAUACGGGCAGGCUAGAGUUCGGUAGGGGAGACUGGAAUUCCUGGUGUAGCGGUGAAAUGCGCAGAUAUCAGGAGGAACACCAGUGGCGAAGGCGGUGCUCUGGGCCGGAACUGACGCUGAUGAGCGAAAGCGUGGGGAGCAAACAGG
Molecule: ribosomal RNA, 253 nt
Filed under: uncultured bacterium
Lineage: Bacteria
Description: partial 16S ribosomal RNA
Rfam family: Bacterial small subunit ribosomal RNA
Source: RNAcentral